GGAGAGGUGCCCGAGUGGCUGAAGGGGCGCGCCUGGAAAGCGCGUGUGCCGGUUUCCGGUACCGAGGGUUCGAAUCCCUCUCUCUCCG
Molecule: transfer RNA, 88 nt
Filed under: Rubrivirga marina
Lineage: Bacteria; Pseudomonadati; Rhodothermota; Rhodothermia; Rhodothermales; Rubricoccaceae
Also listed under: 4 other names
Rfam family: tRNA
About the family: Transfer RNA (tRNA) molecules are approximately 80 nucleotides in length. Their secondary structure includes four short double-helical elements and three loops (D, anti-codon, and T loops).
Source: Rfam by way of RNAcentral